CACUCGUAACUUGAGUCCAAAUUAGGCAUGAAUUAUUGACAUUUCCAAAAUAGUCAUAAAGGAAAAAUUCUUAUUACAGUUCCCAUUAGGGGACUGCGUUACAAGCAUAAAUGAAACGUCGUGUUUCAUUACAGGAAGAAUUAUUCUACUUGCAGUCCGCAAUGCGGGACUGCAUUGCAAGCCUUAAAUGAAACGAUGCGUUUCAUUUAAUAUAAAUGAACCGCACCGUUUCAGUGAUAGAAAACACACCUGGGAACGGGACUAUGGCCAACCCCUUGAUGAAACCGAAACCGAAUGAAUCCCUCCCCAGCCCCAUGAGGAAACCGAACGUAUCCCUCCCCAUUCAAAGGUCCAGAGCCGUAGCCGCUGCCCAUCACCUGGAAGCCACAGUCCGUUAGCUGAGAUUUUGGGUUUCGGUUUGCUCAUUGGAGAUUGGAUUUCCUUCCUCAACUACCAGCUUCCCCAUCACCUGGUUAAGCCACCGUUCGUUAGCUCCGUUUCGGUUUGCAGAUUUGGCCCGUUGCCGUCGCCACCUGCUAUGUUAGUUUCGGGUUUGCACAGAGAAGAUUUGAAAAGUUUUGAUAUGCGAUGUCCUCAUUGCAUGCUUCAUCAUUUUCGACCACCCCUCCAAAAUGUUUAUGCGGGGAGAUGACACGUCUAAAAUUGUCGAACACCUCUAGAAAUCCAAGACGACCUUUUUAUUCGUAUUCCAAUUACAAUAAAGAGGGAAGGUCAUAUUGCGAGUAUUUUUUAUGGGCAGAUAUCGAAGUAGAAAAUGAAGCUAAAAUUGCCUGUGAAAGAGAGCACACUUUGAAGAGAAAAAAGAACAACUCCGAAAAUGGGAGGAAGAACUCUAAAAAAGGGAAGAAGAACUCGCGUGUGAUCGGGAUGAGUUUCAUGCUCUAAUAAACAAUGAUAACAAUCCAUGCAUGCGACCUUGUGUGUAUUGGGGACUUGCAAUUCUAUUAUUUUGUUGUUGGAUAGGAUCAAGAAUAAUUGAUCCUUAAGUAAAGUGUAUAAAAAAAGUGUAAUGUUGUUAAGUAGGUUGUAAUAGAUGGGGGGUUUGCCACUUUCUUGAAUCCGUGUACAAGGGACAAACCCAGGGUAUUAUGUAUGAAACUCCCUGCUUUUUGUAUUAUCUGAUGUGAACUUCACACUGUUGUAAAUGCUUUCAGACAAUUUGAAUAUGAGUGUUACUAUGUGUUCUGAAUUACUA
Carya illinoinensis is the source of this 1216-nucleotide long non-coding RNA. RefSeq lists it as uncharacterized. NCBI's taxonomy places the organism in Eukaryota, Viridiplantae, Streptophyta, Magnoliopsida, Fagales, Juglandaceae. The record is from RefSeq and is a predicted model, not a curated record. The transcript has 3 exons.